Molecule: transfer RNA, 95 nt
Filed under: Arsenophonus sp.
Lineage: Bacteria; Pseudomonadati; Pseudomonadota; Gammaproteobacteria; Enterobacterales; Morganellaceae
Description: tRNA-Sec
Rfam family: Selenocysteine transfer RNA
Source: RNAcentral
GGAAGAUCAUCGUCCCCGGUGGGGUGGCUGGACUUCAAAUCCAGAUGGGGCCGCCAGCGGUUCUUGGCAGGUUCGACUCCUGUGGUCUUCCACCA